CCAAAAAUCCCUAAAAUACCCCAAAAAUCCCUAAAUAACCCCAAAAAAUCCCAAAAAAUCCCUAAAAAACCCAAAAAUCCCAAAAAAUCCCUAAAAAACCCAAAAAUUCCUAAAAAUGCCCCAAAAUCCCAAAAAUACCCAAAAACCCCAAAAAUCCCUAAAAAACCACAAAAACCCCAAAAAUCCCUAAAUAACCCCAAAAACCCCAAAAAUCUCUAAAACACCCCAAAACAUCCCUAAAAAACCCCCAAAAUCCCUAAAAAACCCCAAAAAUCCCCAAAAUCCCUAAAAAACCCCAAAAAUCCCUAAAAAACCCCAAAAAUCCCUAAAAAACCUCAAAAACCACAAAAAUCUCUAAAAAACCCGAAAAAAUCCCUAAAAACCUCCCAAAAAUCCCCGAAAAUCCCAAAAAAACCCCAAAAACCCUAAAAAACCCGAAAAAAACCCAAUUUUGGGCUUUUUGCUUUUUUGGGAUUUUGGUUUUUUUUGGGGUUUUUGGGUUUUUUUUGAGGUUUUUUGGAAUUUUUUUUUAUUUUUGUGGUUUUUUGUGGGUUUGGGGGGAUUUUUUGGGGUUUUUUGGGGUUUUUUAGAGUUUGGGGUUUUUUGGGGCUUUUUGGGUUUUGGGAUUUUGGGGUUUUUUUGGGGGGGUUGGGAUUUUUUGGGUUUUUUUGGGUGGUUUUGGGGUUUUUUGGGAUUUUUUUUAUUUUGGGGGGGUUUGGGGGGAUUUUUUUGGGUUUUUUGGUGGAUUUUAAGGGGGUUUGGGGAGUUUUGGGAUUUUUUUUAAUUUUUGGGGAUUUUAAGGGGUUUUUUGGGGAUUUUUGGUUUUUUUUGAUUUUUGGGGUUUUUUGGGGGUUUGAGGGGAUUUUUUGGGGUUUUUUUUUGAUUUUUUGGGUUUUUUGGGGUUUUUUGAGAUUUUUUAGAGUUUGGGGUUUUUGUGGCUUUUUGGUUUUGGGGAUUUUGGGGUUUUUUUGGGUUUUAUUUGGGUUUUUAAUUGAGUUUUUAAUUGAGUUUUUAUUGGGGUUUUUUGGGAUUUUUUUUAUUUUUGGGGGUUUUUUUUGAGGAAUUUUUUGGGUUUUUUGGGUUUUAUUUGGGGUCUUUUUGGGGGUUUAUUGGGGAUUUUAUUGGGGUUUUUGGGGGGUUUUCUUUUGAGAUAUUUUGGUUAUUUUUUACUUUUUAAUCGAGUUUUUAAUUGAGCUUUUAUUGGGGUUUUUGGGGAUUUUUUUUUGAGGAAUUUUUGGGGUUUUUUGGGUUUUAUUUGGGGUUUUUUUGGGGGUUUAUUGGGGUUUUUAUUGGGGUUUUGGGGGUUUUUGGGGGGUUUUCUUUUGAGAUAUUUUUUGGUUAUUUUUUACU
Molecule: long non-coding RNA, 1350 nt
Filed under: Cyanistes caeruleus (blue tit)
Lineage: Eukaryota; Metazoa; Chordata; Aves; Passeriformes; Paridae
Description: lncRNA (ENSCCEG00000018931.1)
Source: RNAcentral